UUUAGUAGACGGAAGCCUCGGUGGAAGAUUACUAAUGAGAGUGGCGAACGGGUGAGUAACGCGUGAGCAACCUGCCUAUGACAGUGGGAUAGCCUCGGGAAACCGGGAUUAAUACCGCAUAAAAUCGUAGAAACACAUGUUUCAACGGUCAAAGAUUUAUCGGUCAUAGAUGGGCUCGCGUCUGAUUAGCUAGUUGGUGAGAUAACAGCCCACCAAGGCGACGAUCAGUAGCCGGUCUGAGAGGAUGAACGGCCACAUUGGAACUGAGACACGGUCCAAACUCCUACGGGAGGCCGCAGUGGGGAAUAUUGCACAAUGGGGGAAACCCUGAUGCAGCGACGCCGCGUGAACGAAGAAGGUAUUCGUAUCGUAAAGUUCUGUCCUAUGGGAAGAUAAUGACAGUACCAUAGAAGAAAGCUCCGGCUAAAUACGUGCCAGCAGCCGCGGUAAUACGUAUGGAGCGAGCGUUGUCCGGAAUUAUUGGGCGUAAAGGGUUCGCAGGCGGCAUGACAAGUCCGAUGUAAAAGGCGAAAGCUCAACUUUCGUAAGCAUCGGAAACUGUCAAGCUUGAGUGAAGGAGAGGCAAGUGGAAUUCCUAGUGUAGCGGUGGAAUGCGUAGAUAUUAGGAGGAAUACCGGUGGCGAAGGCGACUUGCUGGACUUCAACUGACGCUGAGGAACGAAAGCGUGGGUAGCAAACAGGAUUAGAUACCCUGGUAGUCCACGCCGUAAACGAUGAGUGCUAGGUGUCGGUAUAAAUCGGUGCCGCAGUUACACAAUAGCACUCCGCCUGGGGAGUACGUGCG
This 805-nucleotide ribosomal RNA is filed under the name uncultured Clostridia bacterium. RNAcentral describes it as "bacterial SSU rRNA". It matches the Rfam family "Bacterial small subunit ribosomal RNA", at positions 47 to 888 of the family's 1533-position model. The record is from RNAcentral. Lineage: Bacteria; Bacillati; Bacillota; Clostridia.